CCUGUCCUUCUGCCCUUGUACACCAUGUGGUGUAUCCUAAAGCAAAGAUUAUGCUUUAACAUCUCGGUCUGUGUGGUUCUCCAACCUUCCCUGAUGGCUGUGGGACAGACACCAGUGAGCAAGUGCUGUCAAUAAGCAUGUAACAGACCUCCGGCCUGCGCUCCAGCCACCUUCAUUCCUGGAUGGCCCCGGCUGACUUGCUGUAUCCAUCCUUCAAGUUCAAGGAGUGAACCCAGUUAGGGUCACUGCCACUGACUGCAGCUUGCUGCCUUCUGCCCUGUGAGUCAUCAUCCAAGUUUUUGGGUCACACUUGGAGAGCCAAAGCCUUCCCUGAAGCUGAGGUCAUAAAACUGAAAAAGACAAAGCUCUGCUUUCAGAGAGCAGGUUUGGUAGGUGGUGAGCAAAGCCAUCUCUGAGAGGCCAGCCUGACUUUGGGUAUGGGAGUCCCCAAGAAGCCCAGCAGGAGAGGGCUGACCCAUUCAGCUCCCCCAGCCCCAACAGCCAAAGAUUACACCUGGAUCAAGAGCUCAGGAGCGGGAAGCUGCUUCUCCUAGUCACUAUGGACACGGCACCCUCGGGACCUGGGCUUCGGCGAGGAUAGAAUAUGACAGUCACAAGAUUCACACCUCAAGCCAUGAGACGUGAUCUUCUUGCUCCAUCCCCUGGCAGGGUCACUGGUAGUCGGUUCCAUAGCUACAGUGGUGCACACAGCACUCCUCACCUCUGUGUUGCAGGAACUGCCACUAUUUUCUCCACCUUUUUUUUUUUAACCUUUGCCAUAUCCAAGUACGUUAUCAAGCAGGAUUUGUGGAUACUGAGACUGGCUGAAUACUUACACAUAUAUUUCUCUGAUCUGCAACCGAAAGGGGGACACACACGAGAAAGACGACUUUUGUCAAAACAGAUGGAUGAAGAAAUCAGUGGGAGACCUGGUUCACAGAGAAUCCCUCUCCUAUGUAGCUGCCUCACUCAAGCCCUCCUUCACUCCCAUGCCUGGGACUCGUUGAGGCACAGCAAAGCCCAGCCCCUCUGCUGGAUGGGAAGAACUCAGGAGGGAGCUCCAGAGGACUCAUCCUGUGUAAAGGGCUGAGACCUCCGUGGAGAGCUCACACCAGCUCAACUCUCCCUGUCUUCCUGCUUCCCUUACUUCCAGGAACACUGCCCUCAGCAUGGAAUCUCAAUCUCAGGGUCUGAUUCCAGGAACCCAACCUACAGCCAUUUAAUCUUCCUAAAUUUUACUUGAACUAUUAUUGUAUAAAUAAUGAUUUGAACUUUAAUUAAUAUUUGUGCUUCACUACUUAAACUUUUUUUUUAAAGGUUCUGUUGUGAUUCACAAUGUUCAAUUGAAAGGAAAAGACAUCUAUAUCUCUCUUUUUUUAAAAUCUACUCAUUUCUAUCCAUCUCCAUUUUCAGAUAUUGCUUAAAUUAUUAGAGCCAGAACUCUGAAAUCCAGUUCCAUCAUAUCCCAGUUUCCUACUUCAAUAGGUUAUAUAUCCCUUUUGUGUUUCAAUUUUCUCAUAUGUAAAAUGGGAUUAACAUUAAUGUCCCAAAAUAGAUUAUUGUAAAGAUUAAGUGAGCUAUCAUAUAUAAAUCAUUAAGAUUGAUAUUUAGAAAAAAUAUGUGCUAAGA
Marmota flaviventris (yellow-bellied marmot) is the source of this 1629-nucleotide long non-coding RNA. RefSeq lists it as uncharacterized. Lineage: Eukaryota; Metazoa; Chordata; Mammalia; Rodentia; Sciuridae. The record is from RefSeq and is a predicted model, not a curated record.